RNAcentral lists this ribosomal RNA (653 nucleotides) under Auricularia fuscosuccinea. RNAcentral describes it as "partial large subunit ribosomal RNA". It matches the Rfam family "Eukaryotic large subunit ribosomal RNA", at positions 34 to 664 of the family's 3401-position model. Lineage: Eukaryota; Fungi; Basidiomycota; Agaricomycetes; Auriculariales; Auriculariaceae. The record is from RNAcentral.
UUGCAUUAUCAAAAGCGGAGGAAAAGAAACUAACAAGGAUUCCCCUAGUAACGGCGAGUGAAGCGGGAAGAGCUCAAAUUUGAAAUCUGGCGGUCUAAGGCCGUCCGAGUUGUAAUCUAGAGAGGUGUUUUCCGUGCCGGACCGUGUACAAGUCCCUUGGAACAGGGCGUCAUAGAGGGUGAGAAUCCCGUCCAUGACACGGACUACCGGUGCUCUGUGAUACACCUUCAAAGAGUCGAGUUGUUUGGGAAUGCAGCUCAAAAUGGGUGGUAAAUUCCAUCUAAAGCUAAAUACAGGCGAGAGACCGAUAGCGAACAAGUACCGUGAGGGAAAGAUGAAAAGAACUUUGGAAAGAGAGUUAAACAGUACGUGAAAUUGUUGAAAGGGAAACGCUUGAAGUCAGUCGCGUCUGCCGGGACUCAGCCUUGCUUCUGCUUGGUGCACUUCUCGGUGGAUGGGCCAGCAUCGAUUUUGAUUGCCGGAAAAGGGCGGGAGGAAUGUGGCAGCUUUUGCUGUGUUAUAGCCUUCUGUCGUACACGGUGGUUGGGAUCGAGGACUGCAGCACGCCUUUGGUCGGGGUUCGCCCACGCCACGUGCUUAGGAUGCUGGCGUAAUGGCUUUAAACGACCCGUCUUGAACACGGAAACAAGCAA